This 308-nucleotide ribosomal RNA is filed under the name Peronia sp. UF 303653. Its description in RNAcentral is "partial 12S ribosomal RNA". Lineage: Eukaryota; Metazoa; Mollusca; Gastropoda; Systellommatophora; Onchidiidae. The record is from RNAcentral.
CUAAGUACUAAAAUCAAUGGAUUAAAACUUAAAGAGCAUGGCGGCCAGAAAAAAAUUUAGGGGAACUUACCAAAUAAUAGACAACCCACAAGUUACCUUUCUUAAAUUAGAAGUUUGUAUACCGCCGUCUAGGUAUUACUUUUGGUGAUACCAGCUAUAAAUAAGACAGGUCAUGGUGCAGCCAAUAUUUAAGUUAUGGCGAGUUACAUUAACAAAUUGUUUUCUUAAAGGAUUUAAAAUCCCCUGAGGACUGGACUUGAAAGUAAGAUUUAACUAGCAAUAAAAUUUGAAUACUUCAUUUCUGGUGC